GGUAUGCAUAAACAUACCGACUGAGAGAAGCUGAUGAAGUUUUCUAGGAUGGCUAACACCUCGAUUCUUCUGAAUGAAUUGACAUGAAUCUGAUGUCUGAUCUCUGUUCCUGCCGGAGAGAAGCAUCAAUGGUUUCUGGUAGGCAUCUUCAUAUGAACUCCUCGACUGCUGCUGUACUUCAUUACCACAGGUUGAUUGGAGAUGGAAGAUAUACUUGAAGUUGCACAUUUGAAGGACUUAAUUCUUGGCUCAAAUAAAGUUCCCCUUGCUUUCUUGUAUCACUUGCAUUGCUCUUUCUAUGAGUGUGGGAGAGAAGUAUUUGUGUGUUCAACAGUGAUCCAACUAAAUUAUCUGGUUGUCUGUGGGUGCUGAAUGCCUGCUGAUGGAGCAACAACACUCUGCGACCACUUUUGGGAGCCUUUUUUGGUUGUCCAUAAGAAGAGUUUGUCCAUUCAAGUAGAAAGAAAGGAGAUGCAAUUGGAGACAGAUUACAUUUAAGUUCAGAGCAUCUCCAACAAUAAGAGCUUGCAGAACAAUCUCAUGCCUGUUUAAUGGAGUGGGGUGGUUAAAGAUUCGUGCAGAUUCAAGGAGAUGAUAUCCACAUCCAUCACAACUAGUAUCGAGGUUCAUUAUCAUCCCUUUCUUUGGUAAAAUCUUUCUUUCAAGAAGUGCUGCAUUAUAGAUCGUCCAAUAACAAUACUCCAGUUUUUGUGGAUGAGGUGAAAUAUAACUCAAACCACUGCAGGAACUUUUGAACGACAUGCUUGAACUCAUACAAAAACACUUAAUAUGAAGGAGUAGACCACUUUAUUUUCACAGUCCUACCAGUUUUAGAUCCUUUUUUUUAUUGAGCUAAUUUGAGUGCCUGUAUUUGCUCAAGACGAGAAAACUGACUCGUGUGAUCUAAAUCUAUUUAACACAGGACUUGUGAGGAGGAAUG
Molecule: non-coding RNA, 940 nt
Organism: Musa acuminata subsp. malaccensis (wild Malaysian banana)
Lineage: Eukaryota; Viridiplantae; Streptophyta; Magnoliopsida; Zingiberales; Musaceae
Source: RefSeq, a predicted model, not a curated record